Molecule: non-coding RNA, 45 nt
Filed under: Schistosoma haematobium
Lineage: Eukaryota; Metazoa; Platyhelminthes; Trematoda; Strigeidida; Schistosomatidae
Source: RNAcentral
AUCCAGCUGAUGAGUCCCAAGUAGGACGAAACGAUCGUUCUCAAU